This is a long non-coding RNA of Perognathus longimembris pacificus (Pacific pocket mouse), 970 nucleotides long. RefSeq lists it as uncharacterized. The transcript has 3 exons. The record is from RefSeq and is a predicted model, not a curated record. NCBI's taxonomy places the organism in Eukaryota, Metazoa, Chordata, Mammalia, Rodentia, Heteromyidae.
GAAACAAGAGAGAUUUAAAUGAAUGACAGGAUGCCACAUCUGGCAUAUGUAGUAGGAGGCAUUGAAUGUAGCCAAAGGAGUGUUUAUCUUUUUCCAUAGACAUAAGGGAAGUUUUGCUGGGGAAUGACGGUGUGAGAGGUCUGCUCUAGGAUCCUUCUUCUGUAAUAGACAUUGUUGUCUUGUGACAUCACGGAGACUGUUUUGGUAUCUUUGUUCUCCAAGGUGCCCAGGUCUUCUACCUUCUAAAUCUUCCCCAAAUUCCUGUCUCUGAAUCCUGUAUCAUUUUAUGUCCUCAUUCUUCCAAAAUCAUUGCCCUCCUUUACAAUGUUGCUGAUCCACUUGCUUUUCAUGUUUUUAGUCUAAUCCUAAGAAUGGAAGACUGGGUACUUCUCCCAGUCUUUAGUUCAAACCAGAAACAUUGAGUGGAUACUUCUGCUAAAGGACUGACCACCACCUCCAUACCCUGGAUCUCUCUCCCCUGUAUACAUUACCUGAUGUGCUUAACCAAAUCAUGUGUUAAAUUUAUAGCCUUGUAGGAUGUUCCAGGUUAUUCUGGGGUCCCACAAAUUGUAUUUUUGAAGUGGCUGCUAAGGUAGAACCCCUUCUUGAUUCUAGCCUUUCUUUGCUUCUUUCAUGCACUGUUCUGAAAAAGCUCAUCAGUGUCUGCUCAUAACAUUCUCAAUCAAUUCACUUAGAUUUAGCUGCCACUUCUAUUGAACCUGCAGUUUCCUUCAAUGAGAUGUGUGUGUGUGUAUGUGUGUGUGUGUGUGUGUGUGUGUGUGUGUGUGUGUGUGUGUGUGUUUAGGGUGGUCAUGGGGGAGGAAGGGUCAAAAGAGGCUUGAAUGAUAGUGUUAGAUGGGAAAUUUUGGACAAAGGAAAAGCAGAAAGUAUAAAUUCCCUUAGGUUGAUUUAAAAAAAAUGGUUAGUUGCAAGGCCUCAACUCAGGGCCUCAGUGCUGUCUCUCAGUUCU